Molecule: small nucleolar RNA, 101 nt
Filed under: Cavia porcellus (domestic guinea pig)
Lineage: Eukaryota; Metazoa; Chordata; Mammalia; Rodentia; Caviidae
Description: Small nucleolar RNA U13
Rfam family: Small nucleolar RNA U13
Source: Rfam by way of RNAcentral
ACCCCUGUCAAACCAGCGUGAUGAUUGUGUGUUCAUGCUCCAUGCAUGACAUGUGCCUCCUUUGAACCUUGUUACAACCUCAGCACAUUAUCCAUCUGAUG